This 744-nucleotide ribosomal RNA is filed under the name Sonderhenia eucalyptorum. RNAcentral's name for it is "eukaryotic LSU rRNA". It matches the Rfam family "Eukaryotic large subunit ribosomal RNA", at positions 95 to 871 of the family's 3401-position model. The record is from RNAcentral. Lineage: Eukaryota; Fungi; Ascomycota; Dothideomycetes; Mycosphaerellales; Mycosphaerellaceae.
GAAGCGGCAACAGCUCAAAUUUGAAAUCUGGCGCAAGCCCGAGUUGUAAUUUGUAGAGGAUGCUUCUGGGUAGCGGCCGGUCUAAGUUCCUUGGAACAGGACGUCACAGAGGGUGAGAAUCCCGUAUGUGACCGGCGCGCACCCUCCACGUAGCUCCUUCGACGAGUCGAGUUGUUUGGGAAUGCAGCUCUAAAUGGGAGGUAAAUUUCUUCUAAAGCUAAAUACCGGCCAGAGACCGAUAGCGCACAAGUAGAGUGAUCGAAAGAUGAAAAGCACUUUGGAAAGAGAGUUAAAAAGCACGUGAAAUUGUUGAAAGGGAAGCGCCUGCAACCAGACUUCGCGGCAGUGUUCCGCCGGUCUUCUGACCGGUUCACUCUCUGCCGCGAGGCCAUCAUCGUCUGGGGCCGCCGGAUAAGACUGGAGGAAUGUAGCUCCCCUCGGGGUGUGUUAUAGCCUCCGGUGAUGCGGCGCGUCCCGGGCGAGGUCCGCGCUUCGGCAAGGAUGAUGGCGUAAUGGUUGUCGGCGGCCCGUCUUGAAACACGGACCAAGGAGUCUAACAUCUAUGCGAGUGUUCGGGUGUCAAACCCCUACGCGUAAUGAAAGUGAACGGAGGUGGGAACUUUUUGUGCACCAUCGACCGAUCCUGAUGUCCUCGGAUGGAUUUGAGUAAGAGCAUAGCUGUUGGGACCCGAAAGAUGGUGAACUAUGCCUGAAUAGGGUGAAGCCAGAGGAAACUCUGGUGGA